Molecule: long non-coding RNA, 1120 nt
Organism: Salvia splendens (bonfire salvia)
Lineage: Eukaryota; Viridiplantae; Streptophyta; Magnoliopsida; Lamiales; Lamiaceae
Exons: 2
Source: RefSeq, a predicted model, not a curated record
UGGAGCUCAAUUAAUUAAUUCCCGAAUAAUUUACUAAGUUUCCGAAGAUGAAAAAUAUUGAAGUUGGAGAAGCGAGGGCCGACUGGCGUCGCGGGCCUUAAGAAAAUUCAAAGAAAGGAAUUAGAAGGGAUUCUCCUAGAAUCCAUAUUUUAUUAGAUAAGUGUCUGAGUUUUGUUUUCGAGAAAAUAGAAUUACUCCGAACUUAGUAAAGUGAAUAAAUAAAUUGUGUAGAGUAGUGAAGCCGAGAUAGGAUUAAGAAAAAUCCUAUAAGCCGAGACUAAGAUAUAGGUGCUACCCAGUAGGAAGCAUGCAUUCUUUUCUCCAAAGAAAUAGUUCAAGUACUAAUUAGCAUGUUACGUUGUUUUUGUUAAAAAGGCUAUUUUUGGCUGGGAGGUCGACAGGAGAAUUUUAAUUGAGGAGUAAACGUAUCAGGUGGGCUUUCUUUUAAUAUCCAGCACUAUAGUGUGGAUACAAAGCAAAUGUUUUGAAGUUAUGAAAUACCUUUUUCUCAAAAAUGAAUAUGUGAUCAUUUCUUUUAAAGUUGUUGUCAUGCCAUAAAGUGUUUGUUUUCGAGACCUGCCUGUUGGAGAUAUUUGUCUGUUGGAGAUAAUUGUUUGUUGGUUUUGGCUACGCCAAAACGUUAUGAUUCGGAUUGGGGUGCACAAGAGUCGUGAGCCAUCUAGAGGUUGGCCGGCGAGGGUACUGUUGAAGGUGGCCACCUUCACGGUACACUAGAUUAUCAGACAUGACGGGAUUUCACCAAGAACUUAGACUGCAGUCGGACUUCUAAGAUCACAAAAGAAUUUAGUAUGCUCGAGCCUUUUUAAGAAAACCCUCGUGUGAUACUGUUGAUGGGUGACAACUUAUAUAUUGAUUAAACAAUAGGGCGGAGGCGUGUUGAUCAGAGUCGAUGCUACUUAAGUAAAUAAGGUGGAUCUCUCGACGCUUCGUGUCUUCAUACGCGAGGUUGUUCUUUGGACCUUUCCGCUGCAGUUUGUUAAGAGAGUAUAGUGAACACUCACCAUCGAAACUCUGAUUCAUUUUGAUGAAAUGCCAUUGUUAUUCAAAUCCUUGUAAUCGAAUACUUGGAUCUUAUCUAUCAUAUUGUUUAACUUUUCAA